RNAcentral lists this long non-coding RNA (2025 nucleotides) under Theobroma cacao (cacao). RNAcentral describes it as "long non-coding RNA (TCAC_LNC003058)". Lineage: Eukaryota; Viridiplantae; Streptophyta; Magnoliopsida; Malvales; Malvaceae. The record is from RNAcentral.
AUUUCUCUUCAUAUGGCCGGCCAAAGCAAGAACAAAGGAAGAAAAAAAAGAACAAGAACCCUAGGGUGAAAAUUCAAGAGAAAAUUGGUGGAAUUCAAGUAAUCAAGCAAUCAAAGGUAAAAUUUCUUGAUUUUGACUUGUGAUCUACCUUUCCCAUAUAUUCUUUUUCAUUUUCCAUGGUUGAAUCACAUGAUUUCAUGAUGGGUAUCUUGCUGGCUGAACACUUAGAGAGAGGUUUUGAUGCUUGAUUUGGUUAGAUUUCAAUGUAUUUUAGUGCUUUUAGUUAAUUGGUGAUGUGUAACAUGAAAAUCAAGCAAGAAAAUUUCAUGUUCUUCCAUCACCCAUCAUUGGCCGAAUUCUCCAUGUGGAAUAUUGAGGAUGAUUUUGAUUUUAUUUCAAGUGAUUUGGUUAGGAAUUAGUGAUAUAUGGUGUGAGAAUCAAGUAGGAAAAAUUAUAGUGUUGAUGCACCCACCAUGGUUGAAUUUUCGAAGAGAAAAUGUGAGGAUGAUUUUACCAUAUUUCAAGUUAUUUAAUUUGUGUUUGAUGAUUUGGAGUAUUGGGAGAAAUAUGGAAUUAUUUGGAGUUGAAUUGGACGUAUUGGCCAAUUAAUCGGGUGAUAGAUCAAAUUAGUCCAAUACUGUCUUAUUUAGGUACAUAAUUGAAUUUGUGUAGAACACCGUAUUUAGAUAGUUACUCGAGUAUUUCAUAUCCCAUUUCAUGCAUUAGUAUAGAGCCUAAAUUGGUUUUAUAACAAUUUAGCACAAAUGUAGUAAAUGGCUUAUUGUGCAUUAUGUCUAGGUGGUGAGCAUUCUGGCAAAAGUAAAGAGAUAGUACCCGAGGAUCAAGAAUCGGAGUACUCAAAAUUCGACUCCCGAAAUAAUGAGUAACCUUAUCAUCAUUUUAAUUAUCUAAAGCAGUCUUUUUAUUUGAUUUUAUGAAUUUUAUGGAAAAUUAGUUUAAAUGGUUAAUUUUAAGCUUUUAUAAACAAAAUGUGUUUAAAUGAAACGGUUUUAUAAAUUGUCUUGAAAUUGAAUGAUGGCUUUGAAAAUAGAGUAAUUGGAGACCACUUGAUGUGUUGUAAAUUUAUGGUUCUAAUUGAUUGGCUUAUGGAAAUAUUGGCAUGAAUGGCUGAAUUGGUAUUUGUGUUGAAAAUGUAUAAACUGUUGUUUGCCUUGAUAGGCUGGAUAAUAAUAAAAUUGCCAUGUCAUGCUGUUGAAUUUUUAUUGUGUGGUGGGUUUAGCUUGCUGCAAUGGACGGGUUCUAUGGACUAGCCUAUUAGAGGGGCACGGAAUCUAGUUAUAUUUGUACCUUGGUCAGAGAGGCGCGUAAGGUAUCUCUUGAGGUAUGGUUAGAGUUCACGUCACGCCGAACCACCUCGUGAUGAUGAACUCCGCUAACGCCAAGGAAUGGCUGUGUUUUUCAAACUAAAAAUAUGUUUACGUGUAUACAAAAUUUUUAACAGCCUUGGCUGGCUCGAUUGGAUGCCUCUGAUCAAGGUGUCAUCAAGUACUAUUUGAAGGCAUGAGCCAAAUAUUUAUGAAAGUCAUAAGCCUUAUUGAGAAAUUAAAUGAAAUACAACCGUUUGCAUGGGUUGGGAUGAAUUUUCAAGUUGUGAAAUACGUAUUGUGAUGGGAUAUUUUGAUUGUCUCCUAUUACUCGGCUUUAGCUGAUUUAAAUGAUGUUUGUUUACUCAUUGGGAUUUUAUAAUCUCACCACCCUCCUUUCCAUCCAUUUCAGGCUCAGAAUAGGCUGUAGAUAGCUGAUUUCAUCGAGGGCUACCAUUGGAUUUGCAUCCUCCAAACUGUAGGUUCACAGUCUUCCUUACUUUUGGUUAUUCGGGAGCCCACUUAUUAUUGUAAAUUAAAUUAAAUACUCUGGCUUACUGUAUUACAGUAUGUAUGAAUUUAUUUUGUUUUUACGCUACAAAAAUUAUUUACGUAUAACUCUAAAAAUAUUAUUUUAUAAGAAAAUAGAAUAAUUUAUUGAAUAUUUUUUUAUUAUAUCCAAAUAAUCAUAAUUUUAUUU